CAGACAGUUCUUUCCUAUAGCAAGGAAAGCACGGAGCCCCAGUGCCCCAGGAGCUGAUGAGAGGCAGCCCUUGACAUCCCAACAUCAGCCAGACCUGUCAGGUGGCUCCUGGGAGGCCAAGCCAGCCAGAGCUGCUCCGUGUUCCCUCAGUUCCAUGGGGCCCCACUGUGUCCCAAUGGUCCCUAGCUUCCAUGAGGCCCUGAGGUGUCAUAAUGCCCCCUUGGUGACUCGAGACCCUGAAGGGUCUUAAUGGUCUCCAUGGUUCCAUCAGGCCCCACAGAGUCAUAAUGGUCUCUGGGUUCCAUGAAGCCCUGCUGUGUCACCAUGGCCCCUUGGUUCCAUGGGCUCCAGUGGUGCCACAAUGAUCCCCUUGGUUUCAUGAGGUCCCCACCAUGUCCUAGUGAACUCCAUGGGAAGUAAAGAACCAAGCCCCAAUGUUGCAGGGCCAGUCACCAGAGGCCAAGGCCAGCCAAACUUGGAGGGGUCUUUGUCUAAACAACAAUUGGUGACCCCUGGACGUGUGAAACUGAUGGUCACCCCAGGAGUGACCACGGAGUCCAGCCUGGAGCUGAAGAAACGAGACCCUGAAGAUGGGCAGAGUUCACAGCCAAGGCAAACAGGAGAACCUGUUGGACUUGCCUGGACAUUGUGUCCAGAGACUGCAGAGCAGAAGAGCUGCACAGCUGGAUCCACAAGGACACUGUCUAAAGACUCCGGAGGAGAGUCGGCCGCUGCGCCCAGCCCGGCG
This is a long non-coding RNA of Passer domesticus (house sparrow), 748 nucleotides long. RefSeq lists it as uncharacterized. Lineage: Eukaryota; Metazoa; Chordata; Aves; Passeriformes; Passeridae. The record is from RefSeq and is a predicted model, not a curated record. The transcript is spliced from 3 exons.